RNAcentral lists this small RNA (1325 nucleotides) under Drosophila ananassae. Its description in RNAcentral is "GF27816". Lineage: Eukaryota; Metazoa; Arthropoda; Insecta; Diptera; Drosophilidae. The record is from RNAcentral.
AGCCUAGUCUUAGCAUUUUAUGUCUUACCUUUAACAAAUUUCCAUUCAUCAAUUCUGAUUAAUCCCAGGCCAGGACGAGUAGACCCCAUUUGCCAGGUGGCCCCCGAAGGACAAUCCACAAUUAAAUGCUGCGCUCAUGGCGACAUCGUUUAUCACUUCGCGGACUUCUCAGUCUUGGAUUCGCUAGGCUCUCUGUCGACCAUUAUGGUUGCUUCAUUACCAGCGAUUAAUUUUGAUUGUUUCGACCAAGAGACGAAGGGCCAUAUUUCACCCAACAGGAGACAGACAGUGCCAGGAUGCGGAGUGGGAACUGUGACCGAAAUUAAGCACACAGGACACAACUACACGAAAACGUAAUAAAAUCAUAAUCGUCGGAUCAACACAGUCAUCAGCGGUGUCACAACAGGCCACCAGGAGAUGAUGACAACAAACACACACCAGCCAUCCCGCAAUCCCGCCAACCGACUUCGGAGGACUCCGAAGGAUGCCACAAGGCGACCCAAGGAGCCCCAGCCGUCGUGGCAGAAGCAAUUGCCAGGCGAAACUCAACGUCCUCUUCCUCGUCCUCCAAAAAAAUAGAAAAAACAAGAGCCAAGCUAAAGGGAAAAACUGAACAGGAACAGAGAGCUGAGAGACAAUGAAGACGGCGUUGCAAGGACUAAAAGUGGCAAUUGCCAGGACGAGGACAGAGACAGAGGACAGUGAAACUAUAGACCAAAAAUCACUGUAUCCCCUGAAAGAGACCCGGACCUCAUCCGCCCACGCACAUGAAGAGCUGAUGUGCAGCUUCCGGUCCUAAGCGACGCACAGGUGCAGGCUAACGGUAAAGCUAUAGCCAAAGCAGGGAAUGAAAGAGAAGGACCAAGGGCUCCACUGCCAACCGAAUCCAGCCAAGCACGGCGAGCCAUAAAAACUUUGGGCUGGGAGUUAGGUUGGGCAACUGGAGGUGAUGAUGAAAAAUGCGACAAUGAAAAUAAUGCCCGGCACACGCAUCUCCAGCUCCAUCUCCAUCUGAAAUCUCCUUCCACAUCCUUGACUACGUUCACAUCCAAUCCGGAUACCAAAUGAGGGCUGAGCCACCGCCGACGUCCAGCGGCGAUGUGAAGCUAUAUAGAAGCCAUUCGAGGCACUUAAAGACACGGCGGCGGGUCGAUGCCAUUUUUGGUGUCUGGGUGUGAAAAAGUUUAAGUGGCAACAAGGACAAAAUCCCUGGAUUUACUUUUAUGCACUCUCACACUCCGACUCCCACUCACUCGCUUUCUGAGUGCAAUCUGAGAGGUGAAUGUCGAACAGUGUAAGCUUCCCCAAAAAGCAAGAAAAAAAAA